Molecule: ribosomal RNA, 474 nt
Filed under: Triticum aestivum (bread wheat)
Lineage: Eukaryota; Viridiplantae; Streptophyta; Magnoliopsida; Poales; Poaceae
Description: partial small subunit ribosomal RNA
Source: RNAcentral
AUGAGAUCGGUGCUCGGUCUCUCCCAUUGGUGUUCCUUGCUGCUUCUCCUCUCGCUGGUGACGGCUUCGCGGGGGCUCGAGGUCGGCGACCUCUUCAGCCAUGGGAAACCACCGGCGGGGAAGCAGGACUGCAGCCGGACAUGCGAGUCCAAGUUUUGCACGGUCCCGCCUGUGCUGAGGUACGGGAAAUACUGCGGAAUCCUCUACAGCGGCUGCCCCGGCGAGAAGCCCUGCGACGCCCUGGACGCCUGCUGCAUGGUCCACGACCACUGCGUCGCCGCCAACAACAAUGACUACCUGAACACCGGGUGCAACGAGAACCUGCUGGGCUGCCUCGACGGGGUGAACCCGGCGGGGCCGACGUUCCCGGGGAACAAGUGCGGCGUCGGCGAGACGGCGUUCGUCAUAAAGGGCGUCAUCGAGGCGGCCGUGCUCGCGGGGAAGAUCCUUCACAAGCGCGACAUCGGGCAGUAG